This 72-nucleotide transfer RNA is filed under the name Penaeus vannamei (Pacific white shrimp). RNAcentral describes it as "Litopenaeus vannamei (Pacific white shrimp) tRNA". It matches the Rfam family "tRNA". From Rfam's summary of the family: Transfer RNA (tRNA) molecules are approximately 80 nucleotides in length. Their secondary structure includes four short double-helical elements and three loops (D, anti-codon, and T loops). Lineage: Eukaryota; Metazoa; Arthropoda; Malacostraca; Decapoda; Penaeidae. The record is from Rfam by way of RNAcentral.
GGCCUGAUGGUUUAGGGGUAUGAUUCUCGCUUUGGGUGCGAGAGGUCCCGGGUUCAAAUCCCGGUCAGGCCA